CUUUAAGUUUGGUUCUGCUCAGGAUGAACGCUGGCGGCGUGCGUAAUACAUGCAAGUCGAACGCUUUGUGGUUCAACUGAUUUGAAGAGCUUGCUCAGAUAUGACGAUGGACAUUGCAAAGAGUGGCGAACGGGUGAGUAACACGUGGGAAACCUACCUCUUAGCAGGGGAUAACAUUUGGAAACAGAUGCUAAUACCGUAUAACAAUGACAACCGCAUGGUUGUUAUUUAAAAGAUGGUUCUGCUAUCACUAAGAGAUGGUCCCGCGGUGCAUUAGCUAGUUGGUAAGGUAAUGGCUUACCAAGGCGAUGAUGCAUAGCCGAGUUGAGAGACUGAUCGGCCACAAUGGGACUGAGACACGGCCCAUACUCCUACGGGAGGCAGCAGUAGGGAAUCUUCCACAAUGGGCGAAAGCCUGAUGGAGCAACGCCGCGUGUGUGAUGAAGGGUUUCGGCUCGUAAAACACUGUUGUAAGAGAAGAAUGACAUUGAGAGUAACUGUUCAAUGUGUGACGGUAUCUUACCAGAAAGGAACGGCUAAAUACGUGCCAGCAGCCGCGGUAAUACGUAUGUUCCAAGCGUUAUCCGGAUUUAUUGGGCGUAAAGCGAGCGCAGACGGUUAUUUAAGUCUGAAGUGAAAGCCCUCAGCUCAACUGAGGAAUUGCUUUGGAAACUGGAUGACUUGAGUGCAGUAGAGGAAAGUGGAACUCCAUGUGUAGCGGUGAAAUGCGUAGAUAUAUGGAAGAACACCAGUGGCGAAGGCGGCUUUCUGGACUGUAACUGACGUUGAGGCUCGAAAGUGUGGGUAGCAAACAGGAUUAGAUACCCUGGUAGUCCACACCGUAAACGAUGAGUGCUAGGUGUUUGAGGGUUUCCGCCCUUAAGUGCCGCAGCUAACGCAUUAAGCACUCCGCAUGGAAGCUUUUG
This 926-nucleotide ribosomal RNA is filed under the name Weissella confusa. RNAcentral's name for it is "bacterial SSU rRNA". It matches the Rfam family "Bacterial small subunit ribosomal RNA", at positions 9 to 873 of the family's 1533-position model. Lineage: Bacteria; Bacillati; Bacillota; Bacilli; Lactobacillales; Lactobacillaceae. The record is from RNAcentral.